AGAACCAGGAAGCUCAAAGUGGGC
Molecule: non-coding RNA, 24 nt
Filed under: Arabidopsis thaliana (thale cress)
Lineage: Eukaryota; Viridiplantae; Streptophyta; Magnoliopsida; Brassicales; Brassicaceae
Source: RNAcentral